CUCUGGAACCGAAUGUUGUUCCAGGGCGGAAAGAG
RNAcentral lists this non-coding RNA (35 nucleotides) under unclassified sequences. The record is from RNAcentral.